AGAGUUUGGUCCUGGCUCAGAAUGAACGCUAGCGGCGUGCUUAACACAUGCAAGUCGUCCGAGAACUCUUUAGCUUGCUAAAGAUAGUAAAGUGGCGCACGGGUGAGUAACGCGUGGGUAAUCUACCUCUGAAUUUGGGAUAACUCCGCGAAAGCGGGGCUAAUACCGGAUAAUAUUUCAGGAUUUUCGGGUCUUGAAAUCAAAAGUGGCCUCUACAUGUAAGCUACUGUUUGGAGAUGAGCCCGCGUACCAUUAGCUUGUUGGUAGGGUAAUGGCCUACCAAGGCUACGAUGGUUAGCUGGUCUGAGAGGAUGAUCAGCCACACUGGAACUGAUACACGGUCCAGACUCCUACGGGAGGCAGC
RNAcentral lists this ribosomal RNA (364 nucleotides) under uncultured bacterium. Its description in RNAcentral is "bacterial SSU rRNA". It matches the Rfam family "Bacterial small subunit ribosomal RNA", at positions 8 to 352 of the family's 1533-position model. The record is from RNAcentral.